AGAGUUUGAUCCUGGCUCAGGAUGAACGCUGGCGGCGUGCUUAAAACAUCCAAGUCGAACGCAGUGCCUUUGCUUCGGUAGGGGCAGCUGAGUGGCGGACGGGUGCGUAACACGUAGGAACCUGCCCCAGAGAGGGGGAUAACCGUUGGAAACGACGGAUAAUCCCGCAUACGCUCCUUCGGGAGAAAAGCUACGGCGCUCUGGGAUGUGGCCUGCGGCCUAUCAGGUAGUUGGUGGGGUAAUGGCCUACCAAGCCUACGACGGGUAGGGGGCGUGAGAGCGUGGCCCCCCACACGGGAACUGAGACACGGUCCCGACGCCUACGGGCGGCAGCAGUGAGGAAUAUUGCACAAUGGGCGAAAGCCUGAUGCAGCGACGCCGCGUGCGGGAAGAAGGCCUUCGGGUUGUAAACCGCUUUUCUGGGGGACGAGCAAGGACGGUACCUCAGGAAUAAGUCCCGGCUAACUACGUGCCAGCAGCCGCGGUAAUACGUAGGGGCAAGCGUUAUCCGGAAUCACUGGGCGUAAAGGGCGUCUAGGCGGCAAGGCAAGUCUCGCGUAAAAGCUCCCGGCUCAACUGGGAGAGCGCGCGGGAAACUGCCUGGCUAGAGACUCGGAGAGGGGUGUGGAAUUCCCGGUGGAGUGGUGAAAUGCGUUGAGAUCGGGAGGAACACCAGUAGCGAAGGCGGCACCCUGGCCGAGUUCUGACGCUGAAGCGCGACAGCGUGGGGAGCAAACGGGAUUAGAUAUCCCCGGUAGUCCACGCCGUAAACGAUGACAACUAGGUGUCGGGCAUCUAAGGAUGUUCGGUGCCGCAGCCAACGCUGAUAAGUGUCCGCACUGGGGAUACGGCCGACAGGCUGAAACUCAAAGGAAUUGACGG
RNAcentral lists this ribosomal RNA (882 nucleotides) under uncultured bacterium. RNAcentral's name for it is "bacterial SSU rRNA". It matches the Rfam family "Bacterial small subunit ribosomal RNA", at positions 8 to 916 of the family's 1533-position model. The record is from RNAcentral.